CCCUGGGAUCUUCCUGCGCUGAAUGGGAAAUGGUGAUGGCGGCUUUGAUGGACAUGUGUCGAUUCAACCAAGAGUGACUAUGCAUAUGGAUUAUCAUAAAACCUGCAGGGUAUUAAUGGCUUUCAAUCCCAUCUCUUCCCAAGAUACCCUAGUUCCCAUGCCUAAAGCACACCAUGAUUAAAUAGAGAACAAUCGUGAUGACGACACUCCUCCGCGACUCAACGUCCCACUCUUCUCAGAUUGUCUUUUCCCUUCACCGUACCAGAGUUCUCCGUCACCGGCGACGGAGCUCCCAAAUUGAAAACGAAACCAUCAAUCCCUUUAUUUUCCUCCAUAGGUUCCGAAUCUCCAAUACAAACGCCAUAAUUAUCAACCAAAUAGUUCGAUCGGAUGCGAACCUACCAGAACCCUAGACGGACUUCCUAAGAUUCAACAACAAUCAUCAAGAAUCGGAGCCUCUAAUCAUAGGACUUUGAUUCACCGUGAACAACUCUAUGCUAUUAUAGGUUACAUCGAAGCAAAUGGUGGAAUCGUUUACUUACCUCGCCGGAGAAUAUGAUCUGAGUGACGACGACGACGACGGUGAAAACGAUAUCGUGUUGGCUGCUUGGGUACAAUUUUGGCAUAGGCUUGACAGAUUUGUAGCUUUUGCCGAGCAUCUUAUCCUCCCGGUUCCAUUUGUACCAUCUUGAGUGAUAAAAUUCCUAGCUUGCAACCAAAUCUUCACCAGCAGCAUCUCUGGAUCCAUUGCCUGGGGGUGACCCUGCUAUCCUGUCGUUCAUGCUGAUAAAUGAGCCUAUAUCACUGACAACUGCCCCUAAAGCUACAAGGGUUAAUGAACUCACUCGUCACUCUAAUUAGAUCAACCGUUGAUUUUCCUGAAGGGGGCGCUAAUGCAUUAUCAUGAGCACCAUCUGGACUGGUGAACUCUGCCAGUAAAGGAGAGGUUGAUAUUCUCGGAGUUCCGAUGGCAAGUGAUUGAGUAGGUGCUGCUGCAGCCGCAUCCCCAACUUGUUAGUGUCCAACAUCCGAAAUUGAUAAAAUACCAGAAAUGAGCUUUUCAAAAAUCUCCUGGCAUAGGAGAUGGAGCUAAGGGAUGUGAAGGAGUGGGGACUAUAAAAGGUGAGUUAGCAGGUUGCAGUUUCACUUUUGCAAUUUCAUGUUCUGUAUUUUCUUUCAUCUUUCUUGGACUUAGUUACGUUAGUUUUGCUGGAGUGAAGUCCGUGUUAAUGAAAAAACCAAACGACAUUCCCCUAUGCUUCUCAAUGGAAUGUGCUUCUGUAAAUCAGGGCAUAUGACAUUAAAUCUCGAGUACAAGGUGAUUGGCAAAAAGGUGCAGUAGUGACACCCAACAGUUUAGUGAUUGCAUCCAAGAGGUAAUCUCGAGUACAAGCCUUGACAAUCUCAGAGAGAAAAUACAUUAUCAGCAGGAUUUCCACUGUAAUCACUAAGUGUUGAGAGGAAUGUUACAAUAUGCAUUGAUAGCUCCUUCUACGUCGAGCUUCUGAAAUCGAGUAAUCUCCCUUUUGAUAGCACCUUCUUUGAGAGAGGAAUAAAUCUGCAUUUGGGCUUUAUAUCCAACUGAUAGACUGUCUAGUUCCUUGACUACCAUGACAGAAGAUUGAAUGGUCCGUCAUGAUAAGAGUAAGAUCAUAUUUCUUAUUCACCUGGGAAACACCAACUCGUUAGGCAGGAUGCCGACUAUCGAAGUUCUUCUCAAUCGUCUUUAGGAAUUCCUGAAGAGGAAAUGAAUCUAUGCGUUUCUUUCUAACCGGGGCGCUUACACGGUGACAGAGCCGUGGUAUUCAUCAUUUAUGGCAAUGCUGAUGCCUUCCUUGGAGACUUGCACAUACACACAAUUUUCCCGACAUAAGAAGGAGAUGAACUAGUGUACGAGACAACAAUAUUAGCAGUACCUUUAUUUUUGUAAACCCCGUCUCACCAGCCACUCAUUCUGUAUACGGUAUUGUACAAAGUCUCAAAAAUAAUAUCUACAUGGUGUAAUAUGUAGUUUUUUGGAUCUUGUGGUUUUGAAUAUUGUAUUGAUUCAUUUUUUAUCAUUUGGAAAUAUUAAUGCCUUGUGUUUGGUUCUAUAGUUAGAAUGGUUGUAGUUGGAAUUGGGAAUUUACUACUAGAAUGUAGUGAAAAGAAUUGACUCAAUGUAUUGUGUAUGGAAUUGAUUGGUGAAUGAAUUUUGUAUGGUUUAUGAUGCUAAGUUAGAAAUGUAAUUUGGGUUCUUGGA
Lathyrus oleraceus (garden pea) is the source of this 2242-nucleotide long non-coding RNA. RefSeq lists it as uncharacterized. NCBI's taxonomy places the organism in Eukaryota, Viridiplantae, Streptophyta, Magnoliopsida, Fabales, Fabaceae. The transcript has 3 exons. The record is from RefSeq and is a predicted model, not a curated record.